UUUGGUUGAGUAAGGGAAGGCUUUUAUUCAAGUGGGUCAAGAGGUUUAAAAUCCAUGAUCUUUUAAAGUUGUUUACUCUCAAAACAAGUAGCCUUGACAUUGCACAUAAUAUAUCUAAGAAAUGGACCAACUCAUGCAUACAAUGCUCAAUCUUCAUUGUUCUACUAUUUUCCCAAACAUACAGGUUACACAAUCACUUCCCAAUGUCAAACCCAACUCCCAUCUCUCACCAAAAGAUCCCAAGAAUACUUUGCACAUAAAACUUUUUUUCUUUGAAAUCUAUAAAGGAUUUUCUCAACUUCUAAACAAAUCUUAGCUCUAAACAACUUUGCUAGCCUUUUUUUU
Molecule: long non-coding RNA, 345 nt
Filed under: Brassica napus (rape)
Lineage: Eukaryota; Viridiplantae; Streptophyta; Magnoliopsida; Brassicales; Brassicaceae
Description: long non-coding RNA (BNAP_LNC019498)
Source: RNAcentral